Long non-coding RNA from Peromyscus californicus insignis, 1291 nucleotides. RefSeq lists it as uncharacterized. The record is from RefSeq and is a predicted model, not a curated record. The transcript is spliced from 4 exons. NCBI's taxonomy places the organism in Eukaryota, Metazoa, Chordata, Mammalia, Rodentia, Cricetidae.
ACAGGUGGUGAAUCAAAAGAAAACAAAAAUGGAAGGAAGACUUCUGCCAGACACUGAGUUACGUCUCUGGAUCCCUCUCUUUAAGGAAAUUGAAAGGCAUAGUGAGAGCAGUGGUUGACCCUUGCACAUCUGCAGCAUAGGGGCACAGGAACUGGUGGGGAAAAACUCAAAUAGAGCCACUCAGUGUAGUGCUUUGACUUACAGCUUUAUUAAUUUUUUCAUUAUUUUUCUCGUAAAAGAAGUUAGAUAACUAAAAGAAAUUAGGUCAACAACGGCUUCCCAAAGUUUAAUAAUGGCAAAAAAUGACGCCAUGAGAAAAUUCUGAGAAAAGGUGAACAGUAUGAGUGAAAUGAAAAGCACUGGUCUAUGGAGGUCACAGGAUAGGCGGCAGCAAGACCAGUUAGAAGCAACUCAAUAAAUCUAAUUGUCAAAAUGAUAACAGAGUCAUGAUGCCUAGCAGCAGGCUACAACUGGUCAGGGCAAGAAAAUAGCCAUGGAUGCAUGGCUGACAACAAGAAGAAACAUGACCACUUAGGGCUCCAGCUUCAGAGAUAAACAGAGUGGAGUGAGAACUGGAGCCCCAGACCAAGUGAGAAUCCCCAUGGCGGGAGUGGUGCGUAUGACUGCUGUGUGCAAACAUUUGGGAAGAGCAUGCAUUUUGGUUUGUGAAGGUCAGGAGCUUAGGGGAAGUUAAAUUGUUAUCUUUGGGGGCUAGAAGACCUUAUUUUGGCAAAACAUAAGUGUUACUUCUUGCCAGACAAUUAUAUAUGUGUUGAGUUCCUAAGAGGACACUCUGUAUCUCUGAUGAUACAUUAAAACAGCCAUUCUAGACCAACCAGAUGGUCCAGUGAAUAAAGAAACCUGCUGCUAAGAUGAAGACUUAUCCCCAGAACCUACAGAGCAAAAGGUGAGAAAGAAACAUCUGCCACCACAGCAUCAAUGAUAUUAUUACCUGAUUGCAUGCUUGAUAAGUGAGAGUCAAUGAAGACGAACAUGCUAGGAUACAUGUCAAUGAUACUUUAACGAAAGUAAGCAUAGGUGAAUCUCCUAAACCCAACCAAAGGGCUCCAUCAACUCAGGACUGAGUGUACAAGUGCCGGAGACUGUUGAGGACAUUCCUCUUCCAAAUCACCACAGAAAGAGUUGAGUUGUGGGAUUAUUGGGAACAAGCAGAAGUUUACAGUCAUUUGGAGAAGGGAGUAUUGAAUCACUGAUUCUCCACAACACAGCAAGGAACUGUCCUAUUCAUCCUGACCCUGAAUUCCAUCCAAUGCUAUCACUAGAGAGAAAA